This is a long non-coding RNA of Triticum aestivum (bread wheat), 753 nucleotides long. RefSeq lists it as uncharacterized. The transcript is spliced from 3 exons. NCBI's taxonomy places the organism in Eukaryota, Viridiplantae, Streptophyta, Magnoliopsida, Poales, Poaceae. The record is from RefSeq and is a predicted model, not a curated record.
GUGGAGGGGCGGCGGGGGAUCUCACCGGGUCUCUUCCCCACCUCCGUGGUCUGCCUGCCCGUCCCGCCAUCAGCCACCGCGUCACCGCACCGACCAGAUCCAUGGCGUUAGUCGCGCCGUGCUUUGUGGUUCUACUCCGUCAGAGUUAGGAUGGGGGGUAGGAGCAGCUCCGUCGAGCUUCUGCUGGCGACGGCGAGAUACUUCAGUGCAUCCGGAUCCCCGGCGUUUCGUCUUCUCACCGUCAUCCCUUCUCUGCCAGUUGCCAUCCACCAGGAGGAGAGGGGAGAAACUCCCAGCACCCUUGCACUUUCUGACAUGUACGAGUGCAGUGCGCUAGUCGCGUUGGUGCAGCCCGCUGGCAUCCAGCAGGGGAUGCAGCUCUUCGGUGGGUGAAGUGCGGUCCACGCCGAGCGCCAAUGCAGUGCUGUGCCCCUUGGUGGUUAUGAAAAAAAGCAUGCAGUUUGUUUCGAAUUGGGUCGCGGCUCACUUCCUCCGAUGCAAAAUUCAAAUUGCACUUGUUCCUGCAUGGUGUCGCGUGUUCACAAAAAAAAAUUGCAUCGGCACUUGCAGUGCAUUUUGCUGUCGCGUGCGGUUCACUACGCUGGCCUCGCAGUUGAGAUGAAAUUAUAAAGAGAAAAUGCUAGGAAAAAAAUAAUGCAACUCCCUUUGUCGCUAUUGCAAUGCGGUUCAUUUUGUAGUGAGUCAAAGUGGUUCACUUUGUAAAGCAAAAAGAUUGUCGAAAAGAAGUAUGAA